Molecule: transfer RNA, 87 nt
Filed under: Chloroflexota bacterium
Lineage: Bacteria; Bacillati; Chloroflexota
Also listed under: 1 other name
Description: tRNA-Leu
Rfam family: tRNA
About the family: Transfer RNA (tRNA) molecules are approximately 80 nucleotides in length.
Source: RNAcentral
GCCGAGGUGGCGGAAUUGGCAGACGCGCAUGGUUGAGGGCCAUGUGCCCGCAAGGGCAUAAGGGUUCAAGUCCCUUCCUCGGCACCA